GAAGAACGAGGGAGGCGUGCUUAACACAUGCAAGUCGAACGGAAAGGCCUCAGCUUGCUGGGGUACUCGAGUGGCGAACGGGUGAGUAACACGUGGGUGAUCUGCCUUGCACUCUGGGAUAAGCUUGGGAAACUGGGUCUAAUACCGGAUAUGCACUGCCUUUCGUGUGGUGGUUGGCCCGUUUUUUCGGUGCCCGCUGCGCUCGCGGCCUCUCAGCUUGUUGGUGGGGUCAUGGCCUACCAAGGCGUCGACGGGUAGCCGGCCUGAGAGGGUGUACGGCCACAUUGGGACUGAGAUACGGCCCAGACGCCUACGGGAGGCAGCAGGGGGGAAGAGGGCACAAUGGGCGGAAGCCUGAGGCAGCGACGCCGCGUGGGGGAUGACGGCCUUCGGGUUGUAAACGCCGGGCGACAGGGACGAAGCGUUGGGUGACGGGACCGGGAGAAGAAGCACCGGCUAACUACGUG
Molecule: ribosomal RNA, 467 nt
Filed under: uncultured bacterium
Lineage: Bacteria
Description: partial 16S ribosomal RNA
Rfam family: Bacterial small subunit ribosomal RNA
Source: RNAcentral